GCGCGGAGGUAGACUAAUUACGUUGGCGGCGACCGGCGAAACGGGUGCGGAACACGUACGCAACCUUCCUCAAGGAGGACGGGGAAUACGCCUCUACGAAAGAGAGUAUUAACUACCCAUAGUAUCUCGGAUUCACAUGGAUCUGAGAUUAAAGCUCCGGCACUUUGAGAUGGGCGUGCGGCUGAUUAGGUAGUUGGUAGGGUAACGGCCUACCAAGCCAACGAUCAGUAGCUGAUGUGAGAGCACGAUCAGCCACACGGGCACUGAGACACGGGCCCGACUCCUACGGGAGGCAGCAGUGAGGAAUAUUGGUCAAUGGAGGCAACUCUGAACCAGCCAUGCCGCGUGAAGGAUGAAGGUCCUCUGGAUUGUAAACUUCUUUUAUAGAAGAAGAAACCCCAUUUUUCUAAGUGGGUUGACGGUACUCUAUGAAUAAGCACCGGCUAACUCCGUG
This 454-nucleotide ribosomal RNA is filed under the name uncultured bacterium. RNAcentral's name for it is "bacterial SSU rRNA". It matches the Rfam family "Bacterial small subunit ribosomal RNA", at positions 62 to 507 of the family's 1533-position model. The record is from RNAcentral.